GAUGAACGCUGGCGGCGUGCCUAAUACAUGCAAGUCGAGCGAACAGACGAGGAGCUUGCUCCUCUGACGUUAGCGGCAGACGGGUGAGUAACACGUGGAUAACCUACCUAUAAGGCUGGGAUAACUUCGGGAAACCGGAGCUAAUACCGGAUAAUAUAUUGAACCGCAUGGUUCAAUAGUGAAAGACGGUUUUGCUGUCACUUAUAGAUGGAUCCGCGCCGCAUUAGCUAGUUGGUAAGGUAACGGCUUACCAAGGCAACGAUGCGUAGCCGACCUGAGAGGGUGAUCGGCCACACUGGAACUGAGACACGGUCCAGACUCCUACGGGAGGCAGAAGUAGGGAAUCGUCCGCGAUGGGCGGAAGCCUGACGGAGCAGCGCCGCGUGAGUGAUGAAGGUCUUCGGAUCGUAAAACUCUGUUAUUAGGGAAGAACAAAUGUGUAAGUAACUAUGCACGUCUUGACGGUACCUAAUCAGAAAGCCACGGCUAACUACGUG
Molecule: ribosomal RNA, 497 nt
Filed under: uncultured bacterium
Lineage: Bacteria
Description: partial 16S ribosomal RNA
Rfam family: Bacterial small subunit ribosomal RNA
Source: RNAcentral